RNAcentral lists this ribosomal RNA (773 nucleotides) under uncultured Neocallimastigales. RNAcentral's name for it is "partial large subunit ribosomal RNA". It matches the Rfam family "Eukaryotic large subunit ribosomal RNA", at positions 23 to 616 of the family's 3401-position model. Lineage: Eukaryota; Fungi; Neocallimastigomycota; Neocallimastigomycetes; Neocallimastigales. The record is from RNAcentral.
AGAGAGAGACAUGCGCGCAUAUCAAUAAGCGGAGGAAAAGAAACUAACAAGGAUUCCCUUAGUAACGGCGAGUGAAGCGGGAAGAGCUCAAAUUUGAAAUCUUCAAGGGUUUACCUUUACGAAUUGUAGUUUAAAGAAGUGUUUUCUGCUGAGGUUUUGGUAAAAGUUCUUUGGAAUAGGACAUCAUAGAGGGUGAGAAUCCCGUAUUUGACCUUUACUUUCAACUUUGUGAUACACUUUCAAAGAGUCGGAUUGUUUGGGAAUGCAGUCCAAAAUGGGUGGUAAAUUUCAUCUAAAGCUAAAUAUUGGCGAGAGACCGAUAGCGAACAAGUACCGUGAGGGAAAGAUGAAAAGAACUUGAAAGGAGAGUUAAACAGUACGUGAAAUUGUCAAAAGGGAAGCGUUUGACACCAGUGUUGUUUUUCUGAAAAUCAAUUAAAGAACUGUUUAUGCUAAGUUGUUUAGACUUUAUCAGCUAACUGUUUAGUUUUGAGCUUUUCUUUAAUGCACUUUUCAGUUAACAAGUCAACAUCAAUUUCUUUUGCUGUAAAAAAGCUUGAGGAAGGUGGCUUGAGAUUCGUCUUAAGUGUUUAUAGCCUCUUGCCUAUGCAGUCGGAGAGAUUGAGGUCUGCAGCGUAGAUCCUUCGGGGCUAAAUGCAUUUGUGCUAAGUUAUAGCAUUUUAUAGACAACUUGUUGACUAUGAUUUGUCUUGUAGCUUACUCGCUUAUGUUAUUUUACCUACGCUUAGGAUGUUGAGCGCAUGUCUCUCUCU